GAUGUCAGCCAGGUUGGUGUCUUCUGA
This 27-nucleotide non-coding RNA is filed under the name Homo sapiens (human). Lineage: Eukaryota; Metazoa; Chordata; Mammalia; Primates; Hominidae. The record is from RNAcentral.